CCUCAUUUACUCGCACAUGUAAACAACGGACAGUUAAUAUGUUUUUACACUGAAAUUGAAUUAUUUUAUGUCAAUCAAAAGAGAAAAUAUUUUUCUUUUUUACUGUAAACACUUUAAUCCCAGAAUGCUGAACGUUUGUGCAAUGCGCUCGCUGCAUUGUUUCCAUACUGAUCCGCUAAGGGUAACAAGACUGUAUAUUGUGUCAUGGAAAUCGAAAGUUGAAUUUGAAUAACAAAACAUUUGAGAUAUCAUUGACUUUCAUUUUUCACAAAACGCUGCACUAUGCUUAUUAUAAUAAGGAAACAUAAUUAUGCUUACUCAGGUUCAUAAGUUAAGAGUGUAGAUUCCAAGUAGUGUUCGCCAAUUUAUUUACUAUCACUGGAUAUAUUAAUGAAAACGAAAGUAGAAUUUAGUUUUCAUUUACCAGUAUAAUCUGUCGCCUUUGAACAUCCACCUAUAGAUAUAAUAAUGUUAUUAAAUCUAACAAUGUAUUUCAUUACUUUGCUUUAGCUUAAUGCAAACUGUAGCUGAGAAGAAAACGAUUAAAUUACCAGGGCCCCGUUUUACUAACAGUUCGUAAGUUGUGCGUAAGUUUUUACGUACAUUUUCAACUUACGUAAAUAAUACGAAUUGCGUACGUGCGUUUUACUAAAAUUUCGUAAGUGUAAAUAUUUGCGUAGGAAUAAAUAAUGCGUAACUCUCCGAUUGGAGGUAGAAAUCUCUCUUGGCGCGCACCUGUCAAAAAGAUAAACAAUGGCGACGCCGCAAAAGUUUAAAAGGAAAGAGAAUUGGUCCAGAGCAGAGCAUGGCAUGUACAGAAGUUGUCAGUUCCUUGCAGAGGUGAAGGCACCUAGUACUGGUUCUGCCCAGGAUAGGUGUGCGGUGGUUGAACUGUCACUCUGAGACCCUUCAAUGUGCUCACGCCGGGACCCGGAGUAUAAACUACUAACACCACCACCACCAGAGCAGAGCAUGAAAUGCUGAGGUAUUCAUUCCUUGAUGAAAGCCAUGCCAUUGAAAGCAAGUCCAACCAUUACUCAUGUCUAUGAAGAAAAAUCGUGGAAGAGGAAUGAAAAGAGACUGAAUGCCCAGGGUGUCUGCAUUAGAACUCUUGAUGAUUUUAAUAAGAAAUUAACCAACAUCAAGAUGGACGUGAAGAGGAGGUGUCAGAUGGCAGCGCUGACAGGUGGUGUGACUCCGUAUCUGUUCUGAUACAUAGAAGGGCCACUUCUGGCCUAUAUAUCUACGGGGUGACUCCUCCAAAGUUCAAUGAGCAGGAGGAGAAGAAACAAGUCCAUCAUCUUUGGUGCUGCACCAUACUGCCAAAACAGCUACAUGUUCAUCGUUUGCAGUUAUGUCAAUUUACCUCCAACAUAGUGUUUCCUGCAAUGUCCCAGGGGGCUGCCAUGAUUCCAAAAAGUACAACACCAACUGCAGCAAAAGUGACAAGAGUUUCCAAGAUUCCAUCUACAAGCAACUUGAAAAGACUUCUUAAAUGCCAGAGUGAGCUCUAUGAGCAAAUAUUACAUCAACAAAAACUGACAAUUGACUGUCUCCUUUAUUACAAUUUAUUUCAUGAAUGAUAACUUAAAUAAAAUGUGACUCAGCAACUGUUUUAAAUCAACAAACAUUCUAACAUAAACCUUUGAAGUCUUAUAGUAGAAUCAUAUACCUGGAAGUCUUUGAUUAUUUUAUCUACUUAAAAAACUCACAAUCCACUUAAAUAUUGCUGACACUUGAAGCUUUGCAUAAUUUAUUCACUAUUGCAUUUAAUAAAUCUUUAUUUACCUGUCAACCUGUUCAUAUUCAAGUAAUCUAAUAUUAAAAUACAUAUGGAAAAGCACUUUCAUUUAAAGUGACAUCUAUCAAACAUUGUAAUCACGAAAAAGGGGCUCAUAAUCAUACAUUUUAUGAUAUGGUAUUUUUUUACCAAUAGCUGAAUGUGUAAAUUGGUUAUUGUUUAGAGAGAUAAUAUGUCAAUUUAUUUGUUUUGUAAAUGUGUUUUUAAAUUGUUAUUUAUACUGUCAACACUAUUUUAACAUAUUUAUGAUUGUCAGCCUUCAUGUACUGUUUUGUUCAUUGUUAUAAUCAUCUUCUCCAUAAGUACUGUCAGUGAUUAUCAAAAUGAUACAGCAUCAAAUUCAUGUAUAAUCAUUUUUAAAGGGACUCAUUCAUGUUUUAUAUGGUUAGACAUUGAUUUUUUUUUAUUUCCUAUGAAAUGUGAACAAAAUGCUUGUAGCAAUGAUAAAACACUACAAAAGUUUAAAUAAGCUCAGAAAAUAUGGCAUAAAAUGCUUUAUUUUGCCAAAGUCAGGCUAAGUCAUUUUAGGCUUAGAUUUACUAUUAAAAUGUUGUUCAUAUGAUUAUAGCAGUUGCUUUUUGGUCUUUCUUCAUAAAAGUUGGUAAAAUAAUUCAAUUUCAACAAUUUGAAAAUAAAUAAUCUAUUAACAGUCCCUUUCUGAUAAUGAUUGCUACUAUUGUGUUGUUGUUUUUCAAGUUAAACUUGAUGUAAAAUGUCAAUUUUAAAUUCACACAAAUAAAGUGUUCACUUAUUUCACAGAUAUAUAUGUUUUACCUUUGUCUUUUCACUUUGUUGAAAUAAUAAUAAUGAUACAUCUAUGGAAUUCAAAUAUUAGCACAAACACUUCAUGUUAUUGAGAUGCA
Molecule: long non-coding RNA, 2664 nt
Organism: Mya arenaria
Lineage: Eukaryota; Metazoa; Mollusca; Bivalvia; Myida; Myidae
Exons: 4
Source: RefSeq, a predicted model, not a curated record